GCACUGGUGAAACUGGUUUGUUGGAUUUUCAGUACAUAAUUAGUGUGGAAGUGUUUUUGCCUAGUCAUUCAUAGUGUGUCGGCCCUUAUAAAAGUAGGCUUUCCCCUCAGUCCAACAUCAGUCUCAUUUGAGAUUAAGUUAGUGACACAGACGAGAACUCUCUCUACCUGGCAACCUCAACUCUAAGAUACAGCCAUGUCUCGUUUGCAAGACAUCAUUAAAAGCAUGGUGGAGUUGUACGUGGAGUACUCUGACACUGAUGGCAAGUUAAGCAAGGAGGAGUUGAUGACGAUGAUGGAUAAAGAAAUUGAAUGCUCUGAGAUGAAAGAAAAAAUCAAAUCUAAAAAAUGUGAGAAGAAGGCAGAUCGUAUGGGACGCGAUGGCGAGAUCGACUUCAGAGAGUUUUCUCGUUGUGUGAGUUUUCUUGCCAACAGCUGCUACCACAAGAAGACAGGCAAGGGCAAAGACUGUGGGGACAGCUCAGAUGAUUGAAUGUCAAACCUUUGAAGAGUUACCAUUAUAAUGUGUAAAAAACAGUGGCAGUGGUAUAUAUUACACUAACUGCACUGAGAAUGAAACUUUCAUUGUGUCACUGUGAAUUGUUUUUGAAGGAUGUUCUAAAUAAAAUUGAUUGAGUUUAAAUCAA
Molecule: long non-coding RNA, 646 nt
Organism: Eleginops maclovinus (Patagonian blennie)
Lineage: Eukaryota; Metazoa; Chordata; Actinopteri; Perciformes; Eleginopidae
Exons: 3
Source: RefSeq, a predicted model, not a curated record